Molecule: ribosomal RNA, 1522 nt
Filed under: uncultured Bordetella sp.
Lineage: Bacteria; Pseudomonadati; Pseudomonadota; Betaproteobacteria; Burkholderiales; Alcaligenaceae
Description: partial 16S-23S ribosomal RNA intergenic spacer
Rfam family: Bacterial small subunit ribosomal RNA
Source: RNAcentral
CAGAGCAUCAGGUAGUAUUUCAGAGGUUCGAUUCUGGCUCCAGAUUGAACAUGGCGGGAUGUACUUUACAUGCAAGUCGAACUUGGCAACACGGACUUCGGUCUGGUGGCGAGUGGCGAACGGGUGAGUAAUGUCGGAACGCGUGCCUAGUAGCGAGGAUAACUGCGCGAAAGCGUAGCUAGCCACCGCAUACGCCCUUCGGGGAAAGCAGGAGACCUUCGGGCCUCGCACUAUUAAGAGCAGCCGAUAUCGGAUUAGCUAGUUGGUGCAGGGUAACAGCUCACCAAGGCGACGAUCCAUGUAGCUGGUUUGAGAGGACGACCAGCCACACUGGGACUGAGACACGGCCCAGACUCCUACAGGAGGCAGCAGUGGGGAAUUUUGGACAAAUGGGGAAACCUGAUCCAGCCAUCCGCGUGUGCGAUAGAGGCCUUCGAGGUUGUAAAGCACUUUUGGCAGGAAAGAAACGGCACGGGAUAAUACCGUGCAACUGACGGUACCUGCAGAAUAAGCACCGGCUAACUACGUGCCAACAGCCGCGGUAACGUAAGUGCAAGCGUUAAUCGGAAUUACUGGGCGUAAAGCGUGCGCAGGCGGUUCGGAAAGAAGAUGUGAAAUCCCAGAGCUUAACUUUGGAACUGCAUUUUUAACUACCGAGCUAGAGUGUGUCAGAGGAGGUGGAAUUCCGCGUGUAGCAGUGAAAUGCGUGAAUAUGCGGAGGAACACCGAUGGCGAAGGCAGCACUCCUGAGAUAACUAUGACACGCUCAUGCUUUUAGCGGUAGAGGGGAGCAAACGGGAUUAGAUACCCCUGAGUAGUCACCUAAACGUGUCAACAGCUGUUGUUGUUUGGGGCCUUCGGGCCUUGGUAGCGCAGCUAACGCGUGAAGUUGACCGCCUGGGAAGUACGGUCGCAAGAUUAAAACUCAAAGGGAUUAAUGAAGGGACUGCUGACGGUGAGGAUGAUGGAUUAAUUCGAUGCAACGCAAGCAACACCUGCCCUUGACUUGUCUCUGGAAUCCCGAAGAGAUUUGCCAGGAGUGCUCGCAAGAGGAACCGGAACACAGGUGCUCAUCUGGCUGUCGUCAGCUCGUGUCGUGAGAUGUUGGGUUAAGUCCCGCAACAAGCGCGCAACCUUGAUAGAACAGUUGCUACGAAAAGGCACUCUAACAAUGAGACUGCCGGUGACAAACCGGAGGAAGGUGGGGUGACGUCGGUCCUCAUUGUGGCCCUUAUGGGUAGGGCGUCAUACAAUGGUGAGACUGGAAGGUCGCCAACCCGCGAGGGGGGACAAUCCCAGAAACCCGAUCGUAGUCCGGAUCAUGAUCUGCAACUCGACUGCGUGAAGUCGGAGAUCGCUAGUAAUCUUGGAUCAACAAUGCGCGGUGAAUGCGUUCCGGGUCUUGUACACACCGCCCGUCACACCAUGGGAGUGGGUUUUACCAGAAGUAGUUAGCCUAACCGUAAGGGAGAGGCGAUUACCACAGUAGGAUUCAUGACUGGGGUGAAGUCGUAACAGGUAG